UGCCUGUGUUGCCUAUGCCUAAGGACGGCCCUGCUGCUGAAUGCGUGUUUGAAAGCGUUGGGCCAACGGAGGCUGCUGUGGAAAUGCUCAGUGUCCUUGGCACCAUUGAAAAAUCCACGUCAGCUGGUGCUGCGGGAUGUAAGGGAAAUGGAACUGACAGCUGGCGAGAAGGGGGUGCUCCCCAGACAGCUACAGCAAGAAUCUCCAUGGCUCCAGUUGUCUGAGUUUCCAAGGCAGGUCCGAAACAUGUUUGAGGACCUCCCCUUCGAUGGUCCCCAACUGUUUGCUGCAUCCAUGGUUGAAUCUUUGCGAACCUUAAAGAAUUCCAAACAAGCAAAAGUUUAGCAGAUCUCAGACAGCGAAGAGGUCUCCGCGCCUCUGGUUUCAGGUUUCCAGCGACCCUCUGAAGUACCAGAAAGAAAUCAAGGCUCAGAGGAAGAGAGCAUCCACUUCUGCUACUCAGCUUUGGAAGUCUUCUAUAUGACAGUUUUUUGACAGGCUUGACAACUCAUAACUACCCCACAUCGUAACAAAGCUGCAUCUACAUCAUCCUACUCUCUUCCAUCCCUGCAGAGACUUCCACUCCCAUUUUCAAUACCCAUGGAGCAGAUUACAUCAGAUAAAUGGGUGUUGGAAGUUAUAAGAUGAGGGUACUCCACCCAUUUUACAUCCCUCCACCCCCCACCUCCUUUCCUGUCAAUCUUCAGGGACCACAAACAUCUGCUGAAACAAGAGAUCAACUUCCUUGUGUGUACAGGGUCAUAGGAUCAGUUCCAGACCAACUCAGAGGGAAUGGAUUUUACUCCAACGUUUUCCUGCCCUAAAAAAGAAUUGUGUGUGUGUGUGUGAACCAAUUUCAGAUAUAAGACUUGUAGGCUACUUUGUGAAAUCACGAAAAAGAAAAAUCAGGAUGGUGACUCUCACAGCCACAAUUCUAAUAUUGGAACCAGGGGAUUGGUUUUCAGCCACCACCCUUCAGGACACCUAUUUUUAUGACACAAUUCACUCAUCCUACAAGAGCUUUCUUUGAUUUUCAUUAUGCCUGGAUCACUUUCAGUACUGGUAUAUCCUUUCUUCCUUUCCUCUGUCCAGAUGGUAUUCUCAAAAGUACCAGCAGUGGUGGCAGCAUAUCUUCCUCAUGGAGUAAUAACUGUAUUUCGAAAUCUCAGGUGGCUUCUGAAGGGUUGAUCUUUACAUGAAGUUCUCUAUGCAACAAAGACACUAAUGUCCCUCUUCCUCAGUUUGGAUCUACAACUCAACUUCAGAAAAUCCACUCUGAGCCCUGUGCAAAGGAUAAAGGUCACAGGAACUUCUAAAGAAACAGUAUCAGCCCAGAGCUUACCUUCCUAUAGACAGAUUCACAACAUUAACAAACCACACCUCAGUGAUGAAGAUCAGCCUACAGAUAUCAACAACAAAUUGCUUUUUACUACUCAGACACCUCCUGGUGCGGGGCACGAGGAGAUGUAGGGUGCCUGAGCAGGUUGAAUGGGCACUACCGCUGAAAAUCUCCUAUCAAAGGCGUGUGAAGUGUAAGCGGAUGAGAAGUGGCGCGCCCGUCGGGACACACAUCUCAAAGAACCCGAAUAACAGCAUGGGGAUUUCCAUGCUACCAGCACAACAAGGAGAGUGAUGGAAAUUCUCCGAAGGCAGGCCAAGAAACUGGAGUCUGUGAGGCAGCUGACAGCAGGUUAGAGUGGGUGACGGGGCCUGUACCCCGUAACAACAGAACCAAAUUCACAUGAAAACUGGGGCAGAGUGUGUCCAAUACGGCAAGAAGGAGGGAGCCAGACACACUAAGAUGGAAUUCCAAG
This is a long non-coding RNA of Gopherus evgoodei (Goodes thornscrub tortoise), 1814 nucleotides long. RefSeq lists it as uncharacterized. The record is from RefSeq and is a predicted model, not a curated record. NCBI's taxonomy places the organism in Eukaryota, Metazoa, Chordata, Testudines, Testudinidae. The transcript is spliced from 4 exons.